GGAGAUGGGACUUAGAAACAAGCCUAAAGGAGAAAGGGGCACCGGAAAGCUUCUCUGUAUCCUGAUUGGCCCUUCUUGCUCCAGGAACUCUAGUACCACACUGGAGACAGGACACUAGUUCUCUUCUCAGCUCAGGCCUGGAUUUCUAGGUGAGGCCAGGAGUCAUUUCCGCUUUGGGGGCCUGGGGCUCAUGGGGAGAAAAGGGAUGAUAUGCAUCUCUGGCCGUCCUGAUUCACAGGGUUAUCCAAGCAUGAGGUGGGGCCUUUUGCAAAGCAGACAUGCCCAUUUCUGUCCAGACACAGUUCAGGCGGGCAGUGGGCGGCUGCAGCCUGUCCUUACAUGGGGCUGAAGGGGCCCAGCCACCCAGUGACUCACUCACUUACCCUGCCAGCUGAAACCUAGGCCCCACCCUUCCCUUCUCCUGCCACCCACAAAGCCCCUUCACAUAGCAGUCUCAGAGACUAAGGUAAGG
This 472-nucleotide long non-coding RNA is filed under the name Bos taurus (domestic cattle). RNAcentral describes it as "long non-coding RNA NONBTAT002843". The record is from RNAcentral. Lineage: Eukaryota; Metazoa; Chordata; Mammalia; Artiodactyla; Bovidae.